Molecule: ribosomal RNA, 425 nt
Filed under: uncultured bacterium
Lineage: Bacteria
Description: partial 16S ribosomal RNA
Rfam family: Bacterial small subunit ribosomal RNA
Source: RNAcentral
GUGGGGAAUAUUGGACAAUGGGCGCAAGCCUGAUCCAGCCAUGCCGCGUGAGUGAUGAAGGCCUUAGGGUUGUAAAGCUCUUUCAGUGGGGACGAUAAUGACGGUACCCACAGAAGAAGCCCCGGCUAACUUCGUGCCAGCAGCCGCGGUAAUACGAAGGGGGCUAGCGUUGUUCGGAUUUACUGGGCGUAAAGCGCACGUAGGCGGAUCGUUAAGUCGGGGGUGAAAUCCUGGAGCUCAACUCCAGAACUGCCUUCGAUACUGGCGAUCUUGAGUCCGGAAGAGGUGAGUGGAACUCCUAGUGUAGAGGUGGAAUUCGUAGAUAUUAGGAAGAACACCAGUGGCGAAGGCGGCUCACUGGUCCGGUACUGACGCUGAGGUACGAAAGCGUGGGGAGCAAACAGGAUUAGAAACCCCUGUAGUCC